UAGGGGAAUCUUUCUUGCAAUGGACGGAAGUCUGACCGAGCAACGCCGCGUGAGUGAAGAAGGUUUUCGGAUCGUAAAGCUCUGUUGUAAGAGAAGAACGAGUGUGAGAGUGGAAAGUUCACACUGUGACGGUAUCUUACCAGAAAGGGACGGCUAACUACGUGCCAGCAGCCGCGGUAAUACGUAGGUCCCGAGCGUUGUCCGGAUUUAUUGGGCGUAAAGCGAGCGCAGGCGGUUAGAUAAGUCUGAAGUUAAAGGCUGUGGCUUAACCAUAGUACGCUUUGGAAACUGUUUAACUUGAGUGCAAGAGGGGAGAGUGGAAUUCCAUGUGUAGCGGUGAAAUGCGUAGAUAUAUGGAGGAACACCGGUGGCGAAAGCGGCUCUCUGGCUUGUAACUGACGCUGAGGCUCGAAAGCGUGGGGAGCAAACAGGAUUAGAUACCCUGGUAGUCCACGCCGUAAACGAUGAGUGCUAGGUGUUAGACNGUUUCCGGGGUUUAGUGCCGCAGCUAACGCAUUAAGCACUCCGCCUGGGGAGUACGGACCGCAAGGUUGA
Molecule: ribosomal RNA, 555 nt
Filed under: uncultured bacterium
Lineage: Bacteria
Description: bacterial SSU rRNA
Rfam family: Bacterial small subunit ribosomal RNA
Source: RNAcentral